This 253-nucleotide ribosomal RNA is filed under the name uncultured bacterium. RNAcentral describes it as "partial 16S ribosomal RNA". It matches the Rfam family "Bacterial small subunit ribosomal RNA", at positions 524 to 776 of the family's 1533-position model. The record is from RNAcentral.
UACAUGGGGUGCAAACGUUGCUCGGAAUUAUUGGGCGUAAAGCGCGCGUAGGCGGUUAUUUAAGUCGGAUGUGAAAGCCCUCGGCUUAACUGAGGAAGUGCACCCGAAACUGGAUAGCUAGAGUACGAAAGAGGGUCGCGGAAUUCCCGGUGUAGAGGUGAAACUCGUAGAUAUCGGGAGGAACACCGGUGGCGAAGGCGGCGACCUGGGUCGAGACUGACGCUGAGGCGCGAAAGCGUGGGGAGCAAACAGG